UACAGAGGAGCCAAGCGUUGUCCGGAUUGACUGGGCGUAAAGCGCACGCAGGCGGGGGUGCGCGUGGGGUGUGAAAUCUGGCCGCUUAACGGCCAGGCGCCAUCCCAUACGGCACGCCUGGAGCCUUGCAGAGGUCGGUGGAAUUGCCGGUGUAGUGGUGAAAUGUGUAGAGAUCGGCAGGAACACCCAGGGGGAAACCAGCCGACUGGGCAAGUGCUGACGCUGAGGUGCGAGAGCGUGGGGAGCGAACCGG
RNAcentral lists this ribosomal RNA (253 nucleotides) under uncultured bacterium. Its description in RNAcentral is "partial 16S ribosomal RNA". It matches the Rfam family "Bacterial small subunit ribosomal RNA", at positions 524 to 776 of the family's 1533-position model. The record is from RNAcentral.